Molecule: long non-coding RNA, 407 nt
Filed under: Hordeum vulgare
Lineage: Eukaryota; Viridiplantae; Streptophyta; Magnoliopsida; Poales; Poaceae
Description: long non-coding RNA (HVUL_LNC005047)
Source: RNAcentral
UGUAUAUGUUAAUAUAUUUUUCUGCAAGCUUGUUGAAAGAAUAUAAAGUUUGAUUUUAGACAAACCUAAUAUGCGGAGUAAAUAAAAACGGAGUAGCAACUAGAUACUAUAUGUUGGCUACUAGAUUGACUAUAUGUGAUGUGCACAACUUUAUAUAGCGAGUUGCUGGCUAUACUAUUAACAAUACUCUAAUAACUUCAAGAUGAAGACAUUAUUUAUAGAAAUAGAUCGCACAAUAUUAGACUCUUAGUUGUCCCUCAAUCCACGGGUUGUGAUGGACACUGAAGAGUCUUCGGGGCGGUUCCUCUCUCUAGAUCUGGUGGCUGAUAGCUCAUAUUUGUGUGGUUGCGGGAUGUAGUCGAAAAAAAUCUUUUCUGACUUUUGAUGGGUCUCACUUCAACUAGUUC